This 277-nucleotide unclassified non-coding RNA is filed under the name Hevea brasiliensis (rubber tree). Lineage: Eukaryota; Viridiplantae; Streptophyta; Magnoliopsida; Malpighiales; Euphorbiaceae. The record is from RNAcentral.
GAAAGAGAGAGAGAAGGCAUGGAAAUUGUAUAAUUGUGGUAAGAAACUUGAGGACUAUAAGAUAAAUUGCAGUAUCAUCCACUGUUUCACAUCUAUAUGUAAAGAACUUAAGGAAGUUUCAUCCCAUUCAAAGAUGAUACCGAUUAAUUAACCAUAAGUUAAAAUUCAAUAUGGUUGUAUAGUGCUAACUAAUAUGAUUGUAAGGAAAAUUACUAUUUAGCCUCUGUAUUUUAACGAAACUAACAACUUGAUCCAUGUAUUUUAAAAAAUAUACUAU